Molecule: long non-coding RNA, 1767 nt
Filed under: Cricetulus griseus (Chinese hamster)
Lineage: Eukaryota; Metazoa; Chordata; Mammalia; Rodentia; Cricetidae
Description: lncRNA (ENSCGRG00015036796.1)
Source: RNAcentral
GUAAGCAUCUGAAAAUGUCACUGCUUCAAAUUUUCACAGACUCCAUUGUUGCUAGGAAAACUGACAAUGACAUACAUAUUCUCACAGUAAAUUUUCCACGAGACAGAAAGGAGCCUGACUCCCAUAGUGCUUUUCACACAUUAACGUCUAAUCUGGAUUAUCUCUCUGCCUUUCAGAUGAUAUAACACUACAAACCUGAGACAGGGAUAUAAUGUCUUUAAAGAUAAUCAGUAAAAUCAGAAGCAGGUUGUUAUUUCCUGCAGAGGAGACAGGAUCAGUGACUCGGAGCUGUAAUGCUGUAAAUCAAACAGUCCCUGCCUUUGCUGAUUCCCAUGGGAACAGACUCCUUUAGAUGACAGGAGCAGUCUAAAUUCUCUGGGUCAGUGUACUAGUGGCUCUGGCCAUACCUAGGAUCUACUGUUUCCUGGGUAUGGCCAGAGCCUGACAGCUUAGAAGCCACAGGGCUGUCACUUUUAUAAGCACUCCCUGUCCCUGAUUGAAGGACUGUGUGCAUUCAAAUGCAUCAUGAAAUAGGAACCAAUGAGAAGAUUGAUCUCAUUUCCAGCACUGGAGGCAACUCCUGUGGUUCCCUUGGAGAUCUGAAUCAGAGUUGCUGACUCAUUUCCGCUCCUACCUUGAAUUGUGCUGAAGGAUAAGCAUUGAAAUCGAAAGUACAUGAAAGAAGAAACAUGCAAAUUACCCAGAUUUUUAGGCCAAUUUUCAAAAGGAAAGCAAACAACCUGUGACAUGCACGGUUGAUCAUAUAACUGCUGCUUCAGCAAGCAUCAAUGUUAUCUAUUUGGAAGCUCUGUUUCUCCCUGGAGGCCCUGUCUCCUGAAGAUGUCAGCAGCAGUCUGCCUUGUCUGUGUCCUUGUACAGUCAGCCUCUGACUAUAUCCACGAUCCACUGAGUCCUGGAAUAUAGCCAGAGACUGACUGGUAAGUCCCUGCACUGGCAAUGUUUCUAUUAACACUCCUGGCCCCUGAUUGAAGGACUGUGUGUAUUCAACUUGGGCAAAGACCAAGAGCCAAUAAGGGGAGUGAUCUCAUUUCCAGCAAUGUAGACAUAUCAUAUAGUUGCUUUGGAGAUCUCCAUCAGUGUUGCUGACUCAUUUCUGUCUCCCACCUGAAGGUGUAUGACAGCUGAAACAUCUCAACUGAAAAUGGAUGCCAGAAAAAAAAAAUAGUUACCUUGACUCUGACUGCAGUCUUCAAAUGAAUGAGCCAAGCUGUGCAAAGCAGGUUGUUACCAUAUCACAGGAAUUUGUAUGUGAAUCCAGACCAGCUAAAAAAUGCCUCUGUUUUUACCUGAACUGAGUGUUUCCCUCCCCUACCACCCACCCCAACAAAAAUGCUACCUUUCACAGAUCCUCUCUGCUCCCCCUGGAUGGUGAAGCCUUCCAUAGGGGGUCAUCAGAGUCUAACAUAUCCUUUGGGAUAUGGCCUAGGCCACACCAUGUGGCUUGGCUCAGGGAGUAACACUCUAUGUUCCCUUGUCUCCACUUCCUCUCCAGCAUAAACUCUAAUUGAUGUUUUUGAUUUUAGCCAUUCUGACAGGUAUAAGAUGGGAUCUCAGAGUUAUUUUGAUUUGCACUUCCCUGAUGGCUAAGGAUGUUGAACCCAUGUUAUCUGUCUUUCAGCCAUUUUAGAUUCCUCUAUUGAAAAUUGUCUAUUUAGUUCUGUACCCCACUGUUUUAUUUGGAUUUUUUGGUGUUUUGAAGGCUAGCUUCUUGAGUUCUUUUGUAUUUUGGAGCUCAGCCUUCUGUCA